GUCACACUGAAGGUCCUGAUCUUUCCUUUUAGAUGCGGCAGAUCUUCAGUUUCUCAGCAGACAUCAUGCCUUGCAGAAACAUCACUAUUCAUGUAGAUGAAUGUAAAUGCAGGGGAUGAGAGAAUGCUUUUUUAAGGCAAAGUUGUGAAGAGUUGUGUCAUUUCUGUAAAAGAAAAAGUAGGAGGAGAAUGAGAAAGAUUUUUCUAAGAAGCUUAACAGAGAAACUGAGAGAAU
Molecule: long non-coding RNA, 234 nt
Filed under: Gallus gallus (chicken)
Lineage: Eukaryota; Metazoa; Chordata; Aves; Galliformes; Phasianidae
Source: RNAcentral